RNAcentral lists this transfer RNA (73 nucleotides) under Proteus mirabilis. RNAcentral describes it as "tRNA-Glu". It matches the Rfam family "tRNA". From Rfam's summary of the family: Transfer RNA (tRNA) molecules are approximately 80 nucleotides in length. Their secondary structure includes four short double-helical elements and three loops (D, anti-codon, and T loops). Lineage: Bacteria; Pseudomonadati; Pseudomonadota; Gammaproteobacteria; Enterobacterales; Morganellaceae. The record is from RNAcentral.
GUCCCCUUCGUCUAGAGGCCUAGAACACCGCCCUUUCACGGCGGUAACAGGGGUUCGAAUCCCCUAGGGGACG